This 74-nucleotide transfer RNA is filed under the name Caudoviricetes sp. RNAcentral describes it as "tRNA-Gly". It matches the Rfam family "tRNA". From Rfam's summary of the family: Transfer RNA (tRNA) molecules are approximately 80 nucleotides in length. Their secondary structure includes four short double-helical elements and three loops (D, anti-codon, and T loops). Further hydrogen bonds mediate the characteristic L-shaped molecular structure. tRNAs have two regions of fundamental functional importance: the anti-codon, which is responsible for specific mRNA codon recognition, and the 3' end, to which the tRNAs corresponding amino acid is attached (by aminoacyl-tRNA synthetases). tRNAs cope with the degeneracy of the genetic code in two manners: having more than one tRNA (with a specific anti-codon) for a particular amino acid; and 'wobble' base-pairing, i.e. permitting non-standard base-pairing at the 3rd anti-codon position. The record is from RNAcentral. Lineage: Duplodnaviria; Heunggongvirae; Uroviricota; Caudoviricetes.
GCGAGAGUAGCUCAAUUGGUUAGAGUGCCAGUCUUCCAAACUGGAAGUUGAGGGUUCGAACCCCUUUUCUCGCA